This is a long non-coding RNA of Amphiprion ocellaris (clown anemonefish), 1453 nucleotides long. RefSeq lists it as uncharacterized. The transcript is spliced from 3 exons. The record is from RefSeq and is a predicted model, not a curated record. Lineage: Eukaryota; Metazoa; Chordata; Actinopteri; Pomacentridae.
AGAUCGAGGAGCUGCUGUAUUAUGGCUUGGGUUUAAACAGGGCUCUUUCACACGCUUCAAGCUUCUCCUCCAUCAUCCAUCUCCCACACGGAUCCACUGAUCAGCUCCACCAUUAAAACCAACCACAAUUAAUCUGAUUAUCUGAUUAUAAUUAAAUCUCCUGCUAGGAAACCUUCGGUCCGGGUGUUCAUGUUGGAGCUACUUUGACUCAUACCUCCCACCCAAAUAUUACUACAGACUCAGCAGAACAGUACAUCCUGCUGCACUGCAGGAACUGCUGAGGAUUGGCUAGACGAACACGACAAAGAGACAGAGUAGUGGUCUGACUCACUGGAAGUAGGCUGACGGUAAGAACCUGGUACGGGCCGCUCAUUUUAGGAAGGUUUCUACUCCUCUCCUCCUCCACAACAACCUCGAAGGACUGCUGAGGAACGGAAUCCUAUUGUUUGUUAGUGGAUUAUCCAUUUAAAUGAACUUCUCCCACGCAAAUGUUGCACCAAAUGUCAUGAUCCCUCCUUUCUCUGUACUGUGCUCCUGACCAGAUGACAGCCCAGGCUGAUCAGGCACAGCUGCUAAAGGAGCACAACUGUGCCUGAUCAGCAAUCAGUGGCAGUUAAAGCCUGGCUGCCCCAGCAGCUGCUGCUGGUUCAUGGUCUCUGCUGGCUCCCUGCUAGCUGCUCUGCCCAGGUCUGCAUUGGUUCCGGUCUGUCGCCCUCCCACUUGAACUUUUCGGACUUUUCCGCCGGUCUGUCCACUCUCUACACGGGUCAGUCUGCUGGUUCCUCGGAUCGUUGAGUGAGGAACUCCGCUCCUUACCCCCCGUGGCUGGCAUGGGUUCAUUGUUCUGGAUCGCUGUGAUUCCCGGUCCCGUCUGUUCCGCUCUGCUGGUGGCAUGUUCGUCAUUUAUCAGGGAGAGACAGCAGCAGGAUGAGCUAUGGGAAGAAGACCAGCUGGUGGAGGCAGUCUGAUGCUCUGGAGAAUGUUCUGCUGGGAAACCUUGGGUCCUGGUGUUCGUUUGGAUGUUACUUCAACAUGUUCCACCUCCUAAAGGUUGCUGCAGACCACCCAGCCAUAGUGAUGGUACUCCCUGACCUCUUUCAGCAGGAUAAAGCUCUGUGCUGCACGGUAAACAUUGUUCAGGAACAUGAGAAGGAGUUCAAGGUGUUUGCUCAGCCUCCACUUUCCUCACAUCUCCAUCCAACAAGUCGGAUCCAUGCAGGACCGACCUGAACUUGAAGGAUCUGCUGCUACCAUCAUACUACAGGACACCUUCCCAGGUGUGGUGGAGGAGGAUCUAUCUACAACAGGGAGGUGGUUUUAAUCUAGUGGCUGAUGGAUCUAUGUUCUGUUGUCAGUUUUGUUGUUGUCAUUUUGAUUAUAAAGUAAAAUACGUGAUCAUUCAGUUCCAGAUAACUGUGACUAAAUUUUUUGCGAAUGUACUUUUUUCACUAAA